Molecule: ribosomal RNA, 212 nt
Filed under: uncultured bacterium
Lineage: Bacteria
Description: partial 16S ribosomal RNA
Rfam family: Bacterial small subunit ribosomal RNA
Source: RNAcentral
UACGUAGGGUGCAAGCGUUAAUCGGAAUUACUGGGCGUAAAGCGUGCGCAGGCGGUUUUGUAAGUCUGUCGUGAAAGCCCCGGGCUCAACCUGGGAAUUGCGAUGGAGACUGCAAGGCUUGAAUCUGGCAGAGGGGGGUAGAAUUCCACGUGUAGCAGUGAAAUGCGUAGAGAUGUGGAGGAACACCGAUGGCGAAGGCAGCCCCCUGGGUC